GUGAACGCUGGCGGUAGGCCUAACACAUGCAAGUCGAACGGCAGCACAGUAAGAGCUUGCUCUUACGGGUGGCGAGUGGCGGACGGGUGAGGAAUACAUCGGAAUCUACUUUUUCGUGGGGGAUAACGUAGGGAAACUUACGCUAAUACCGCAUACGACCUACGGGUGAAAGCAGGGGAUCUUCGGACCUUUCGCGAUUGAAUGAGCCGAUGUCGGAUUAGCUAGUUGGCGGGGUAAAGGCCCACCAAGGCGAUGAUCCGUAGCUGGUCUGAGAGGAUGAUCAGCCACACUGGAACUGAGACACGGUCCAGACUCCUACGGGAGGCAGCAGUGGGGAAUAUUGGACAAUGGGCGCAAGCCUGAUCCAGCCAUACCGCGUGGGUGAAGAAGGCCUUCGGGUUGUAAAGCCCUUUUGUUGGGAAAGAAAAGCAGCAGGUUAAUACCCCGCUGUUCUGACGGUACCCAAAGAAUAAGCACCGGCUAACUUCGUG
RNAcentral lists this ribosomal RNA (491 nucleotides) under uncultured bacterium. RNAcentral describes it as "partial 16S ribosomal RNA". It matches the Rfam family "Bacterial small subunit ribosomal RNA", at positions 29 to 507 of the family's 1533-position model. The record is from RNAcentral.